Molecule: ribosomal RNA, 469 nt
Filed under: uncultured Acholeplasma sp.
Lineage: Bacteria; Bacillati; Mycoplasmatota; Mollicutes; Acholeplasmatales; Acholeplasmataceae
Description: bacterial SSU rRNA
Rfam family: Bacterial small subunit ribosomal RNA
Source: RNAcentral
AAAUUGACGGGACCCCGCACAAGCGGUGGAUCAUGUGUUUAAUUCGAUGAUACGCGAAGAACCUUACCAGGCUUGACAUCCCUUGCAAAGCUAUGGAGACAUAGUGGAGGUUAUCAAGGAGACAGGUGGUGCAUGGUUGUCGGUCAGCUCGUGUCGUGAGAUGUUGGGUUAAGUCCCGCAACGAGCGCAACCCUUAUUGCUAGUUACCAUCAUUAAGUUGGGGACUCUAGCGAGACUGCCAGUGAUAAACUGGAGGAAGGUGGGGAUGACGUCAAAUCAUCAUGCCCCUUAUGACCUGGGCUACAAACGUGAUACAAUGGCUGAAACAAAGGGCAGCGAAGCAGUGAUGUGGAGCGAAACCCAAAAAAGCAGUCUCAGUUCGGAUUGAAGUCUGCAACUCGACUUCAUGAAGUUGGAAUCGCUAGUAAUCGUAGAUCAGAACGCCACGGUGAAUACGUUCUCGGGGUUU